AACGCGAAGAACCUUACCUGGGCUCGAAGUGUAGAGGAAGUUAUCAGAGAUGGUAACGCCCGAAAGGGCUUUUACAUAGGUGCUGCAUGGCUGUCGUCAGCUCGUGCCGUGAGGUGUUGGGUUAAGUCCCGCAACGAGCGCAACCCUUAUCAUUAGUUGCCAACAUUUAAGGUGGGGACUCUAAUGAGACUGCCUGGGUUAACCAGGAGGAAGGUGAGGAUGACGUCAAGUCCGCAUGGCCUUUAUGUCCAGGGCUACACACGUGCUACAAUGGUUGGUACAGAAGGCAGCGAAACCGCGAGGUGGAGCAAAUCCUUAAAGCCGAUCUCAGUUCAGAUUGUAGUCUGCAACUCGACUACAUGAAGUUGGAAUUGCUAGUAAUGGCGUGUCAGCAACAACGCCGUGAAUACGUUCCCGGGCCUUGUACACACCGACUGUAC
This 440-nucleotide ribosomal RNA is filed under the name uncultured bacterium. RNAcentral describes it as "bacterial SSU rRNA". It matches the Rfam family "Bacterial small subunit ribosomal RNA", at positions 958 to 1399 of the family's 1533-position model. The record is from RNAcentral.